Molecule: ribosomal RNA, 389 nt
Filed under: uncultured bacterium
Lineage: Bacteria
Description: bacterial SSU rRNA
Rfam family: Bacterial small subunit ribosomal RNA
Source: RNAcentral
AUUGAACGCUGGCGGCAUGCUUUACACAUGCAAGUCGAACGGCAGCGCGGGGGCAACCCUGGCGGCGAGUGGCGAACGGGUGAGUAAUGCAUCGGAACGUAUCCUGUAAUGGGGGAUAACGUAGCGAAAGUUACGCUAAUACCGCAUACGCUCGAGAGAGGAAAGUGGGGGAUCGCAAGACCUCACGUUAUAGGAGCGGCCGAUGUCCGAUUAGCUAGUUGGUGGGUAAAGGCCUACCAAGGCGACGAUCGGUAGCUGGUCUGAGAGGAUGAUCAGCCACACUGGGACUGAGACACGGCCCAGACUCCUACGGGAGGCAGCAGUGGGGAAUUUUGGACAAUGGGCGAAAGCCUGAUCCAGCCAUGCCGCGUGCGGGAAGAAGGCCUCGG